Molecule: ribosomal RNA, 493 nt
Filed under: Boophis occidentalis
Lineage: Eukaryota; Metazoa; Chordata; Amphibia; Anura; Mantellidae
Description: partial large subunit ribosomal RNA
Rfam family: Bacterial large subunit ribosomal RNA
Source: RNAcentral
UACCCUAACCGUGCGAAGGUAGCAUAAUCACUUGUUCUUUAAAUGAGGACUAGUAUCAAUGGCAUCACGAGGAUCCUACUGUCUCCCCCCUCCAAUCAGUGAAACUGAUCCCUCCGUGAAGAAGCGGAGAUACACUUAUAAGACGAGAAGACCCCAUGGAGCUUUAAACCCAAUAGCAUCCGCUUAUUUUUUAUCCUUUUAAACGUCCGGUUUUGUCUAAUUGGUUUUAGGUUGGGGUGACCACGGAGCACAAAAAAGCCUCCAUGAAAAAAGGAAUAACUAUCCUUAUCAGAGAAUUACACUUCCAAGAAUUAAUAAACUAAUUUUUAAUGAUCCGAUAUUCGAUCAACGAACCAAGUUACCCUGGGGAUAACAGCGCAAUCCACCUCAAGAGCCCCUAUCGACAGGUGGGUUUACGACCUCGAUGUUGGAUCAGGGUGUCCCAGUGGUGCAGCAGCUACUGAAGGUUCGUUUGUUCAACGAUUAAAACCCU